This 500-nucleotide ribosomal RNA is filed under the name uncultured bacterium. RNAcentral describes it as "partial 16S ribosomal RNA". It matches the Rfam family "Bacterial small subunit ribosomal RNA", at positions 30 to 523 of the family's 1533-position model. The record is from RNAcentral.
AUUGAACGCUGGCGGAAUGCUUUACACAUGCAAGUCGAACGGCAGCACGGACUUCGGUCUGGUGGCGAGUGGCGAACGGGUGAGUAAUGUAUCGGAACGUGCCCAGUCGUGGGGGAUAACGUAGUGAAAAUUACGCUAAUACCGCAUACGAUCUAUGGAUGAAAGCGGGGGACCGUAAGGCCUCGCGCGAUUGGAGCGGCCGAUAUCAGAUUAGCUAGUUGGUGAGGUAAAGGCUCACCAAGGCGACGAUCAGUAGCUGGUCUGAGAGGACGACCAGCCACACUGGAACUGAGACACGGUCCAGACUCCUACGGGAGGCAGCAGUGGGGAAUUUUGGACAAUGGGCGCAAGCCUGAUCCAGCAAUGCCGCGUGAGUGAAGAAGGCCUUCGGGUUGUAAAGCUCUUUUGUCAGGGAAGAAACGGUUGUGGCUAAUAUCCAUGGCUAAUGACGGUACCUGAAGAAUAAGCACCGGCUAACUACGUGCCAGCCGCCGCAGUAA